AGCAUCUCCUUCACGCCUCUUCAUUUGUUGGCGCAAGUACGUUCUCGGCCAAAAUCGGGUUUCCUGUGCUAGAUACCUAUCUCGAAGGAAUUUGGUGGGCUAUAAUUGUUGGCUUUCCAUCGUGUGCCGCUGCUCCUUGCGGGGGAAGUGGUGUGCGGUGGACCUCAAGGCAUUUGCCGUGUUUCGCACUGUGUCCACCUAUACGGGUGUUUCCGUUGCUGAGCCACUGCGCAAUGCUCGAUAUCUCGGGUGCGGAAAAUCUAGUGGGUACGAGGCCGUUGGCCUCCGAUCACCACAACAACAAGCGUUCUACGCUUCGUGCGAGCGACGGUUGGCUCGGUCUUCGAACGGGCUCUAGCAGCCUGAUUGGAGUCGUGCUGGCGUUGG
RNAcentral lists this unclassified non-coding RNA (387 nucleotides) under Elsholtzia blanda. RNAcentral's name for it is "partial external transcribed spacer". Lineage: Eukaryota; Viridiplantae; Streptophyta; Magnoliopsida; Lamiales; Lamiaceae. The record is from RNAcentral.